CUACGGGCGGCUGCAGUGGGGAAUCUUAGACAAUGGGCGCAAGCCUGAUCUAGCCAUGCCGCGUGAGUGAUGAAGGCCUUAGGGUCGUAAAGCUCUUUCGCUGGGGAAGAUAAUGACGGUACCCAGUAAAGAAACCCCGGCUAACUCCGUGCCAGCAGCCGCGGUAAUACGGAGGGGGUUAGCGUUGUUCGGAAUUACUGGGCGUAAAGCGCGCGUAGGCGGACGGUUAAGUCGGGGGUGAAAUCCCGGGGCUCAACCCCGGAACGGCCUUCGAUACUGGCAGUCGGGAGUUCGAGAGAGGUGAGUGGAAUUCCGAGUGUAGAGGUGAAAUUCGUAGAUAUUCGGAGGAACACCAGUGGCGAAGGCGGCUCACUGGCUCGAUACUGACGCUGAGGUGCGAAAGUGUGGGGAGCAAACAGGAUUAGAACCCGAGUAGUC
RNAcentral lists this ribosomal RNA (438 nucleotides) under uncultured bacterium. RNAcentral's name for it is "partial 16S ribosomal RNA". It matches the Rfam family "Bacterial small subunit ribosomal RNA", at positions 339 to 795 of the family's 1533-position model. The record is from RNAcentral.